RNAcentral lists this ribosomal RNA (1443 nucleotides) under uncultured organism. Its description in RNAcentral is "SSU rRNA". It matches the Rfam family "Bacterial small subunit ribosomal RNA". The record is from RNAcentral.
AGGAUGAACGCUAGCUACAGGCUUAACACAUGCAAGUCGAGGGGCAGCAUCAUCAAAGCUUGCUUUGAUGGAUGGCGACCGGCGCACGGGUGAGUAACACGUAUCCAACCUGCCGACAACACUGGGAUAGCCUUUCGAAAGAAAGAUUAAUACCGGAUGGCAUAGUUUUCCCGCAUGGGAUAAUUAUUAAAGAAUUUCGGUUGUCGAUGGGGAUGCGUUCCAUUAGGCAGUUGGCGGGGUAACGGCCCACCAAACCAACGAUGGAUAGGGGUUCUGAGAGGAAGGUCCCCCACAUUGGAACUGAGACACGGUCCAAACUCCUACGGGAGGCAGCAGUGAGGAAUAUUGGUCAAUGGACGAGAGUCUGAACCAGCCAAGUAGCGUGAAGGAUGACUGCCCUAUGGGUUGUAAACUUCUUUUAUACGGGAAUAAAGUGAGCCACGUGUGGCUUUUUGUAUGUACCGUAUGAAUAAGGAUCGGCUAACUCCGUGCCAGCAGCCGCGGUAAUACGGAGGAUCCGAGCGUUAUCCGGAUUUAUUGGGUUUAAAGGGAGCGUAGGCGGGUUGUUAAGUCAGUUGUGAAAGUUUGCGGCUCAACCGUAAAAUUGCAGUUGAUACUGGCGACCUUGAGUGCAACAGAGGUAGGCGGAAUUCGUGGUGUAGCGGUGAAAUGCUUAGAUAUCACGAAGAACUCCGAUUGCGAAGGCAGCUUACUGGAUUGUAACUGACGCUGAUGCUCGAAAGUGUGGGUAUCAAACAGGAUUAGAUACCCUGGUAGUCCACACAGUAAACGAGGAAUACUCGCUGUUGGCGAUAUACAGUCAGCGGCCAAGCGAAAGCAUUAAGUAUUCCACCUGGGGAGUACGCCGGCAACGGUGAAACUCAAAGGAAUUGACGGGGGCCCGCACAAGCGGAGGAACAUGUGGUUUAAUUCGAUGAUACGCGAGGAACCUUACCCGGGCUUAAAUUGCAACUGACUGAACCGGAAACGGUUCUUUCUUCGGACAGUUGUGAAGGUGCUGCAUGGUUGUCGUCAGCUCGUGCCGUGAGGUGUCGGCUUAAGUGCCAUAACGAGCGCAACCCUUAUCGAUAGUUACUAGCAGGUCAUGCUGAGGACUCUAUUGAGACUGCCGUCGUAAGAUGUGAGGAAGGUGGGGAUGACGUCAAAUCAGCACGGCCCUUACGUCCGGGGCUACACACGUGUUACAAUGGGGGGUACAGAAGGCAGCUACACGGCGACGUGGUGCUAAUCCCGAAAGCCUCUCUCAGUUCGGAUUGGAGUCUGCAACCCGACUCCAUGAAGCUGGAUUCGCUAGUAAUCGCGCAUCAGCCACGGCGCGGUGAAUACGUUCCCGGGCCUUGUACACACCGCCCGUCAAGCCAUGAAAGCCGGGGGUACCUGAAGUACGUAACCGCAGGGAGCGUCCUAGGGUAAAACUGGUGA